This is a long non-coding RNA of Corvus hawaiiensis (hawaiian crow), 397 nucleotides long. RefSeq lists it as uncharacterized. The record is from RefSeq and is a predicted model, not a curated record. The transcript is spliced from 4 exons. NCBI's taxonomy places the organism in Eukaryota, Metazoa, Chordata, Aves, Passeriformes, Corvidae.
UGAUCUGUAACAAAUCUGAGUGAGGAUCUGGGGAUGAUCUGAAAGAGAUGAUUCCUGUCUUCGCAUCUGAAUAUAAAAAUCAGAUAUGAAUCAAUACAUCCUGAAGGCAGAUGCUGUUCUGCGUGAUGCCAGGAAACCUGAGCCAUGUGUCACCCACAUCUUCCAGAGGUGCAUGUAUGGCGUCAGCAAUCACAUCAGUAUCCAGGCUCCAGCACUGAUAAGUACAUUGUAAUCCACAAGAAUCUUCCUCUCUCCUUUGCUCCAGGGCAGAGGGAAGACCUGGGUGCAGCCAGCAUCAGCCCAGUGUUCCAGGUAUCUUUUGGUGUGAAGGGGUCCUGCACCAUGGCUUUUCCUGCAUCUCAACUUAGCUCUCUUCAAUCCCAUAUAUAAGCAGACA